This 389-nucleotide unclassified non-coding RNA is filed under the name Hevea brasiliensis (rubber tree). Lineage: Eukaryota; Viridiplantae; Streptophyta; Magnoliopsida; Malpighiales; Euphorbiaceae. The record is from RNAcentral.
GAGUUCCAAGGAUUAAAUGGAAAUGUAUGUUCCUUUGCCUUAGGUUCUUGUUUAGUUAAAUAUACAGGUUAACUGGUUUUCUUUUUGGGUUUGUCGCCACUCACCAUGCUAGUGGAUGAAAAUGUAAGCUUGUAGUGUUGUGCCAUUCCUAGUUCUAUGCCAGCGAGUGCACACACACGAACAUCCAAAUUAGGCUGAUGCAUUUGUAAUACAAAAAUACAAAAUUUGCUGGUGUUUAAUUUAAAACUUCUCAAAUACUAGAUACACCAAUGUAACAAACAGCCUGCUUGUAUUUACCAUCUACAAACUAUCCUCCUUGUUCUCCUGGAGUAAGCUCAUUGAAUGAAUUUUGAUACUGAAAGAUAGUAUCUUCUCAAAAAAAAAAAAAA